GAUGAACGCUGGCGGCGUGCCUAAUACAUGCAAGUCGAGCGAACAGAUGAGGAGCUUGCUCCUCUGACGUUAGCGGCGGACGGGUGAGUAACACGUGGAUAACCUACCUAUAAGACUGGGAUAACUUCGGGAAACCGGAGCUAAUACCGGAUAAUAUAUUGAACCGCAUGGUUCAAUAGUGAAAGACGGUUUUGCUGUCACUUAUAGAUGGAUCCGCGCCGCAUUAGCUAGUUGGUAAGGUAACGGCUUACCAAGGCAACGAUGCGUAGCCGAACUGAGAGAGUGAUCGGCCACACUGGAACUGAGACACGGUCCAGACUCCUACGGGAGGCAGCAGUAGGGAAUCUUCCGCAAUGGGCGAAAGCCUGACGGAGCAACGCCGCGUGAGUGAUGAAGGUCUUCGGAUCGUAAAACUCUGUUAUUAGGGAAGAACAAAUGUGUAAGUAACUAUGCACGUCUUGACGGUACCUAAUCAGAAAGCCACGGCUAACUACGUG
Molecule: ribosomal RNA, 497 nt
Filed under: uncultured bacterium
Lineage: Bacteria
Description: partial 16S ribosomal RNA
Rfam family: Bacterial small subunit ribosomal RNA
Source: RNAcentral